Molecule: non-coding RNA, 73 nt
Organism: Octopus bimaculoides (California two-spot octopus)
Lineage: Eukaryota; Metazoa; Mollusca; Cephalopoda; Octopoda; Octopodidae
Source: Rfam
GGCAGUUUAGCUUAAAAGUAAAGCACUAUGACCGGUAAUCACAGAGAUGUGAGUUCGAGUCUCAUGGCUGGCU